CACACACACACACGCACACGCACACACCCUCACACGCAUGCACGCACACACACACACGCACACACACACACACACACACACACACACACAACACAACAAACACCCACACACGCGUGCACACACACACACGCACACACAUACCACACACUCACACGCACACACACACACACGUGCACACACACAGGCACACACGACACACACACACACACACAUACGCAUACACAAACACAAACACACACACACACACCCACAGGCACACACACACGACACACACACACAUACACAAACACAAACACACACACACACCCACACACACAUGCAAGCACGCACACACACAUACACACACACGUGCACAGACACACACACAGACAGACAGACACACACACACAUACACACACACACAAAACACAACAAACACCCACACACACGCACACACACACACACGCGCGCGUAAACUAAAGUGAUGGAACUGUUCCAGAUUGUGCGAUUGACCUGGAAUUAGUCUGGGAAACGAGGACCAGAAUGACUGCUUUCAGGUAACUUGUUUUUGUGUCAUUGUUGCACCUCAUUACCUGUGUGUACCGAUGCUCGGAAUCUUACCACACGCUUACACUGGUGGCUCCACCAUAUUCAAGUCACGCAGGUACUAGAAGUCACAGUGAUAAUCUCUGCCUGAAAGGACUGUUGCGUCAACCUAGUAAGCAAGCAUCAUGGCUAACCAGAAGAACAAAUGCAAUUCAGUAAGGAAGUCUAAAAGACAAUUGUUUUGGCAGGAAGAAAACGGACACAGGAAGAAAACGGACACAGAUAGUCCAGGAGCAGAAACAAAUAUUACAACUACAGUAACUCCAGAUACUUCGGCGCAUCAACUUCAACAGGAGCAGAAACAAAUAUUACAACUACAGUAACUCCAGAUACUUCGGACACUGACGCAUCAACUUCAACAGGAGCGAAGCAAACAUCCAAGGGAGCAGAAAAAAUAUUCUGAUGAGCUAUCCAGGCAUUCAAUGCACUGCUCUGGAAGUGUUGUAUUAAAUGGCGAGUUUCGAUAUGGUUUAGCUCAGUGUUCCAUCUGUAAACACACAAUCUGAAUAGAGACAUCCAAUAAAGUAAUAAAGUAAAAGGUCCAAAAGGUUAUCACAGGUAAAAGUAGUUUACAGUGUGUCAUCUAAAAAAAUUGUGUUUUUUCAAUACUCUGCGCACUUAAGGCCCGGGUCCAGAUUUCAACAUCAAAAUUUACACUAUGUUCAUACUGCUGUAUUAUUUGCAAUAUACAGUGUAUGCUGCAUCAAAAUGAUCCAAAAUGAAGCUCAAUGUUUUCUUUUUCCAAAAAACUAAUUAGCUUAAUUCAAUUAUGCUAAUUAGUCCCAUAAAUGGUGAUGACGUCAUGCCACUUUCAGAAAGAGAAAUGCAAAUACGGCGUUGAAGAUGCUAAGAUCAAGCUUCAAAAACAAGGCAAAAACAAGGCUAGAUGAACAUCUCAUAGCUAGGUACUAGUAUCCUUGAUGGGAAGAGUAGGAGUUAUUGUAUUUUUAAGAUACACAAAAUAGCCUACCUGCUGUCAGAGCUAAAGAAGCUAGCAUAGCUAAGAAAGUUUUGGACAUUUUUACUUCCCAUCAAGGUUUACUUCCCAUCAAGGAAACAUAAUCAUAACAACAUAAUCUAUCUUUUGAGGGCCUAAACAGCUACUGUUUAAGUCCGCCGUAUUUGUUGCCAAAGAUAAUCUAUAACAGUUCUAGCAGCUAGCUAAGCAAAUACAUUGACCUUAUGACGUCAUGUGCAAUGAAUAACAUUAAUAAACAUUAUGAAUCUCAUUAACACUACACGAUCUACAUCAUCUACAUGGCCAUGAAUAAAAUUAAUCUAAUCAGUGCCUGACCCAGGCCUUAACUGCCCAGAGUAGGUGGGAGUGCAGCUGUGUGGGGUACAGGUGGUGGCCAUAGUAAACUACAAGAGACCAUGAGUGUGGUAGGAGUUCCAGUCAUGUCAAAGACCAUGAGCGAGCUAUUGGAGAAGUAUGGAAACAGCAGUUGAGAGAAACCAUGCUUGAAGCUGGGCGAGAAGAGAAUGUAGAAAAGUCGUCCCAUAAACAUUCUGCUAAAUCAGGGGUUGCCAUCAUUAUCGGCAGAGACUGGCAAGUUACUUUUCAUUGACGUUCGAAAUAAAUUUUGUUAUGCCUGCUCAAGACAGAUUCCUAAAGUAUCCUAAAGAGAACUGGAACAAAUCUUCGGAGACAGAUAUUAUUCUACAAGGAGUGCUUCCUUCGUCGGUGACGUUCUGUUUUAUCAAAACCUGUCAACCUGUCAACCUUUGGCACAAAAUACUUAGCACAUGUACUAUAGUAAUUAGAGCACUAACCCUCGGCGAACAAUUGCAUUAUCAUAGUGAAUAAUAAUUAUUUAUUUAUUACGACGAA
This is a long non-coding RNA of Halichondria panicea, 2416 nucleotides long. RefSeq lists it as uncharacterized. The record is from RefSeq and is a predicted model, not a curated record. The transcript is spliced from 2 exons. NCBI's taxonomy places the organism in Eukaryota, Metazoa, Porifera, Demospongiae, Suberitida, Halichondriidae.